This 497-nucleotide ribosomal RNA is filed under the name uncultured bacterium. RNAcentral's name for it is "partial 16S ribosomal RNA". It matches the Rfam family "Bacterial small subunit ribosomal RNA", at positions 28 to 507 of the family's 1533-position model. The record is from RNAcentral.
GAUGAACGCUGGCGGCGUGCCUAAUACAUGCAAGUCGAGCGAACGGAUGAGAAGCUUGCUUCUCUGAUGUUAGCGGCGGACGGGUGAGUAACACGUGGAUAACCUACCUAUAAGACUGGGAUAACUUCGGGAAACCGGAGCUAAUACCGGAUAAUAUUUUGAACCGCAUGGUUCAAAAGUGAAAGACGGUCUUGCUGUCACUUAUAGAUGGAUCCGCGCUGCAUUAGCUAGUUGGUAAGGUAACGGCUUACCAAGGCAACGAUGCAUAGCCGACCUGAGAGGGUGAUCAGCCACACUGGAACUGAGACACGGUCCAGACUCCUACGGGGGGCAGCAGUAGGGAAUCUUCCGCAAUGGGCGAAAGCCUGACGGAGCCACGCCGCGUGAGUGAUGAAGGUCUUCGGGUCGUAAAACUCUGUUAUUAGGGAAGAACAUAUGUGUAAGUAACUGUGCACAUCUUGACGGUACCUAAUCAGAAAGCCACGGCUAACUACGUG